This 331-nucleotide RNase P RNA is filed under the name uncultured Bulleidia sp. RNAcentral describes it as "Bacterial RNase P class B". It matches the Rfam family "Bacterial RNase P class B". Rfam says of the family: Ribonuclease P (RNase P) is a ubiquitous endoribonuclease, found in archaea, bacteria and eukarya as well as chloroplasts and mitochondria. Its best characterised activity is the generation of mature 5'-ends of tRNAs by cleaving the 5'-leader elements of precursor-tRNAs. Cellular RNase Ps are ribonucleoproteins. Lineage: Bacteria; Bacillati; Bacillota; Erysipelotrichia; Erysipelotrichales; Erysipelotrichaceae. The record is from RNAcentral.
GGCAGCCGCUAGUAUUUUCUAGAGGAAAGUCCAUGCUCGCACGAUCUGCGAUGGUCGUAGUGUUUGUGCUGGUCCAAUCAAUAAGGCCAGGCACCAAUUGGUGACGGCGGAGAAAGAGCCUAAGGACAUUGUCUAUGGCCGAUUCCCUUAAGGUGUCACAGUGACGAAGUCUUAGUGGAAACAUUAAGAGUGGAACGAGAUAAACCCCGCAAGCGAGAAACCCAAAUUUGGUAGGGGAAUCAUCAAGAGCAAAAUGAAGUUCAAGAUGGGUGUAGCAAUACACAGAUAAAUGACUGCCACCUUGUUUUACAAGGAACAGAACAUGGCUUAU